RNAcentral lists this long non-coding RNA (199 nucleotides) under Ficedula albicollis (Collared flycatcher). RNAcentral describes it as "lncRNA (ENSFALG00000023979.1)". Lineage: Eukaryota; Metazoa; Chordata; Aves; Passeriformes; Muscicapidae. The record is from RNAcentral.
GGGGGGGGGGGGGGGGGGGGGGGGGGGGGGCACGACGGGAGCGCGCCCCGCCCGCCGCUUCGAACACACACAGGAAGCGGCGGCGCGCGGCGCCAUGGCAACGGCCCCGGUGACGUCACAGCAUGGUUUUCCUUGUUUCUGGAGUGCCAGUCCUCGCAGCAGCUGAGCCUAGUGACCCUUUUCCAGCCCAGCCUGGAGG